ACAGCCUGAGAGGUGGGAUAAAGAAAAAGUUCAAGCACAGUGCUUUGAAGAGCGAUAGUGCUACAGUGGGGUUAUAGUCUAAGACCUCUGGAUGUGAGGAGAGCUCACCAUUACCGAUUCAGGAGUUCUGGACCAAGGCAUGUGCGUUUGGUUGGUGGAUCAAGGACUCUCACUCAGCUGCUCACAACGGAAAAGGAAACUUGAGGAAGCAUCGUCAGCGUUUGAAAAGUUUUAAGGGAUUCUGACUAUUUAAGGGACAACAUCUUGUUUAUUACAGCCAAAUUUUGUCCUUUCUGUUGUCCAAAAGUGAUGUCGGCUUACAGUGCAGACACACCAACCUGAAAGAGUUGAUGGAGGCUUUCUGUGACUGUUUGGCUCACCAGUUCACCAAGGAGAUGUUUGAGCAAGAGGCAGUAACACUACAGGGCUUGAUGUCAUACGGUGUGGAUGUAACCAAAAGGGGACAGACUGGAUUUCUGGACCAAAGCCAGGGAUGGUGAUCCUGGAAACUCAUCUCUUGGCUAAUUCCUGAGGCCUUUAAAUGCAAAUGGUGAGGGGGAGACCUUAUUGCUCUCUACAACUACCUGGAAGGAGGUUGUACAAAGGAUGGUGCUGGGCUCUUCUCCCCAGGGACAGGGGACAGGACAAGGGGGAAUGGCCUCAAGCUCCGCCAGGGGAGGGUCAGACUGGAUAUCAGGAAAAAGUUUUUCACAGCAAGGGUCAUGGGGCGCUGGCAGAGGCUGCCCAGGGAGGGGGAGAGUCACCAUCCCUGGAGGGGUUUCAAAGACAGGUAGACAAGGUGCUCAGGGACAUGGUUCAGUGACAGAAAGGGAUGGUUGGAGUCGAUCAUCUAAGAGGUCUUUUCCAACCUGGUGAUUUUGUGAUUCUGUGAUUUAUGUUGAUAUUCUUGAAAUAUCCAGACCUCAAGACCAACCCACUCGUACCGGUCUGGGCAGUUUGGUGCUUUUAUUCCAGAGCCUGAACAGCCAGGAUCCAGGAACUAAGUGUGCCCGUGCAUCCCAGAAGAUGCUGUCAGAGCAAGCUCUCUGUGUUCCAGAGGGAUCUGGCUCCUUGCAAAACACAGGGGAGGUUGUCAUCAGUGGAAGACAAGGAUCCUUUCCAGUCCUCUCCUCUGCCUCAGUGACUUCAGACCCAGGUAUGGACAUGAAGCAUUUCCUGACCUCAUGGGCUCUCUUUUGGUGGGCACCCAGAAUCAUAGAAUCACCAGGUUGGAAAAGAUCUCCUGGAUCAUCAAGUCCAACCAUUCCUAUCUGCCACUAAAUCGUGUCCUUAAGCAUCUCGUCUGCCCGUCUUUAAAGCCCCUCCAGGGAUGGGGGCUCCCCCCCUCCCUGGGCAGCCUCUGCCAGUGCCCCAUGACUGGUGCAUGGCAAACGGAGCCUGUGCUGGGAGCGAGAUCACAUCUGCCUCGAGAGGGGCCACAGCUACAAAUGCUGUCAUCUUCCACAGGUCCUGAAGGAACUGCUCAACAUGGGGGAACCUCUCUACUCACCUGCCUGUGUGUAUGGGCACCCACUUUUGGCCAUGGCCGUAGGGCAGGGUGGGAGACAGACCCUGUGCCAUGGCUCUGGUGUUCUCACAAGACUGACGCAGGGUCUGGACUGGACAUAAGUGGCUCAAUAUUUACACUGCAGCUCCUCUCUUCCCCUCUGGAAGAUCAUAGAAGAGUUUGGGUUGGAAGGGACCUUAGAUAUCAUCCAGUUCCACUCCCUGCCACGGGCAGGGACACCUCCCACUGGCUCAGGCUGCCCAAGGCCCAUCCAACCUGGCCUGGAACACCUCCAGGGAUGGGGCAGCCACCACUGCUCUGGGCAACCUGGGCCAGGGCCUCCCCACUCUCAUGGUGAAGAAAUUCCUCCUUAUGUCAGGCCUAAAUCUGCCCCUCUCCAGUUUACACCCAUUGCCCCUCAUCCUGUCCCCACAAGCCUUUAUGAAUAGUCCUUCUCCAGCUUUCCUGUAGGCCCAAGAUGGUCUUUUGCUGUUGUCUCAUUCCCUCUGGCUUCUCAGCUCUAGAAAACUGUCAAAUCCUCCCUCUUUUCAAACCCGUGUCUUGAAAUCUGUUUUCCCAGGAAUGAGAUGGGUACAUGUUGACAUCAGUUCUGAGAAUAUUUUCUUGUAGGUGGAACUAUUAUUCCUCCUUGGUCCGUAACCGUGCACAGUCAGGGGUUUGCUGAGCUAAGAAGUUGCUGAAGGAAAAAUGAGAAUUGUUCUAUGUAUUCCCCUCUAACAGAUGUGGUUGAAAAAGACUAAAGGACAGAAGAUAAGCAAUUAUAGAAAGCACUUCUGGAAGUAAUGGGAGAGCCAGGAGGCUACAGAUUCAGAUGAAAAUAUUGCUGGAAGCUUUCCCUCCUGUGGGGGUUUGGUUUUGAUUUGAAAACGCUUGUGGCACUGGUUUGUGUGAUGCCAGUCUCCUUGGAAAGGACUGCAGUGACAGAUGACACAGGUGACAUACAUUCCCUCACUCUGAUCCAAACUUAAUUCCAAAGCUUGGCAUCUCGUUUACCAACUCCGCUAAUAAAUACCCAUAAAAACCAGAACUGAGCGACCUCCAGUUUCUCCUGGCACUUCCAAGGUAGGAAUCCUCCUAUGGCAGUUUAUUUUUUAUACAACUAAUUUUCUUGACUCACAACUGAAGAUUAGCCUGUUGCUUCAUUUAUUUGGUCAUUAAUUUGGCACCGUGGGCAGAUGUUGACGUAAAGCUCUUACCCGUUUGGGGUUAGAUGGAGGCAAGCGAUCUGCACCCAAAGGUUUAACAAGGCGUCCAUCCCAAGGGAGUGUUGAUGCUUCUAAUUAAUUUAAUUAAAGGGAAAACUUUAUACUAGACUAAAAAGAUUGUUUGCUUGAUUGAGACCUAAACAUCAGUUUCCUUAAAGGGAAAUAAAGCAGA
Long non-coding RNA from Cuculus canorus (common cuckoo), 2905 nucleotides. RefSeq lists it as uncharacterized. The record is from RefSeq and is a predicted model, not a curated record. The transcript has 3 exons. NCBI's taxonomy places the organism in Eukaryota, Metazoa, Chordata, Aves, Cuculiformes, Cuculidae.